UCCCUGGUAGCUCAGGUGGUAAAGAUUCUGCCUGCAAUGCAGGGGACCCAGGUUCAAUCCCUGGGUUGGGAA
RNAcentral lists this transfer RNA (72 nucleotides) under Bos taurus (domestic cattle). It matches the Rfam family "tRNA". Rfam says of the family: Transfer RNA (tRNA) molecules are approximately 80 nucleotides in length. Their secondary structure includes four short double-helical elements and three loops (D, anti-codon, and T loops). The record is from Rfam by way of RNAcentral. Lineage: Eukaryota; Metazoa; Chordata; Mammalia; Artiodactyla; Bovidae. RNAcentral also lists the same sequence under 3 other names.